GCAAACUCCGUGCCAGCAGCCGCGGUAAUACGGAGGGUGCGAGCGUUAAUCGGAAUUACUGGGCGUAAAGCGCGCGUAGGCGGUUUGUUAAGCCGGUUGUGAAAGCCCUAGGCUCAACCUAGGAACUGCACCCGGAACUGGCAAGCUAGAGUACAGUAGAGGAAGGUGGAAUUCCACGUGUAGCGGUGAAAUGCGUAGAUAUGUGGAGGAACAUCAGUGGCGAAGGCGGCCUUCUGGACUGAUACUGACGCUGAGGUGCGAAAGCGUGGGGAGCAAACAGGAUUAGAUACCCUUGUAGUC
This 300-nucleotide ribosomal RNA is filed under the name uncultured Marinospirillum sp. RNAcentral's name for it is "bacterial SSU rRNA". It matches the Rfam family "Bacterial small subunit ribosomal RNA", at positions 496 to 795 of the family's 1533-position model. The record is from RNAcentral. Lineage: Bacteria; Pseudomonadati; Pseudomonadota; Gammaproteobacteria; Oceanospirillales; Oceanospirillaceae.